GAAAUGCGAUAAUUAAUGUGAAUUGCAGAAUUCAGUGAAUCAUCGAGUCUUUGAACGCACAUUGCGCCCCCUGGUAUUCCGGGGGGCAUGCCUGUCCGAGCGUCAUUGUUGCCCUCAAGCACGGCUUGUGUGUUGGGCUUCCGUCCCUGGCAACGGGGACGGGCCCAAAAGGCAGUGGCGGCACCAUGUCUGGUCCUCGAGCGUAUGGGGCUUUGUCACUCGCUCCCGUAGGUCCAGCUGGCAGCUAGCCUCGCAACCAAUCUUUUUAACCAGGUUGACCUCGGAUCAGGUAGGGAUAUCCGCUGAACUUAAGC
This 314-nucleotide unclassified non-coding RNA is filed under the name plant metagenome. Its description in RNAcentral is "partial contains 5.8S ribosomal RNA, internal transcribed spacer 2, and large subunit ribosomal RNA". The stretch from base 1 to 105 matches the Rfam family "5.8S ribosomal RNA", at positions 50 to 154 of the family's 154-position model. The record is from RNAcentral.